Molecule: long non-coding RNA, 679 nt
Organism: Eriocheir sinensis (Chinese mitten crab)
Lineage: Eukaryota; Metazoa; Arthropoda; Malacostraca; Decapoda; Varunidae
Exons: 2
Source: RefSeq, a predicted model, not a curated record
GACGGGCCAAAUUUGUGCCAUAAUUUAAACCCCCCAAAAUAGAUGAUACAUAAACUGAUCACGAAUGCUUUGAUAUAUGUUAUGAAAUGAUUUGUGUGAGUGAUAAUUUUUUUUCAUUUUCUCGCUUAGAGGGACCAUUAAGAAACAUGAUCCCCGCUGUUACCGGGUUAAUCUUAACUGAACCAGAAAACGGAAAUAAAAGUAACAGCAGCAUGAGCAUCAAACAGAGGCGGUGCAGGGCCGGAGUGCUUGUGUCCAUUAGGCAGCAAACGGGACCACCCUUGUGUGCAUGUUACUGAGACUUGAUGCCUCUGAAGCUCCUUGUCUGAAUAAACACUUUUGCAAUACUAGUCAGGCUUCAACUCACCUCCUUAUACCUCAUUUCCAUAUUACACCUCCUUAUACCUCACUUCCAUCUCUUUAGUAUCCCAACAUUACUAUUAUUAUUAUUGUUGUUGCAGAUCCAGGAGUUGGGGAGUUCCAUGAGGUUGAGACAACUCACCGUGACAUUUGCAAACCUCUUGAUAGGAACAGUGACACCUUCCAGAAGCUGCUGCUCUUUUUGAAAACACACUUUCAUCUAAUGUAGUCAGUACAAAGAUAUAUUGUUGAUGUUUUCAAAGUGUAUAAUUUUGUUAAGUGAUGUAAAGAUUUGUUUGUUAUACCAAAUAUAUUUUUU